Molecule: ribosomal RNA, 1184 nt
Filed under: Atyloella tribinicuspidata
Lineage: Eukaryota; Metazoa; Arthropoda; Malacostraca; Amphipoda; Pontogeneiidae
Description: partial 28S ribosomal RNA
Rfam family: Eukaryotic large subunit ribosomal RNA
Source: RNAcentral
AAAGCCCAGCGCAUAACCUCCCAGGCUACCAAGCCUGUGGCGGAAUGUUGCGUUAAAGGAAAGGUCGUUUAAACCCUGCACAACGUAGUCAUAAGUUUGGCUUGAAUUUUCCACUGUUUCUUAACGGAAACACCGGCUCACAGAGGGUGAAAGACCCGUGUUGCUACGUGGAUAUGUGCAUGGGUUCGGCUUUUUUCCUUGAGAGUCGCGUUGCUUGAACAUGCAGCGCUAAGCAGGUCGUAAACUCGACCUAAGGCUAAAUAUUUCCACAGAACCGAUAGUAAACAAGUACCGUGAGGGAAAGUUGAAAAGCACUCUGAAGAGAGAGUCAAAAGACCGUGAAACCGUUCACAGUAUAAGCCAAUGGCUUUUCGGAAGGCUUGGAGCAAGCUUUCCCCUUUUCCAGGGAGAUGCUAUCGUGUGUGGUAAACCGAUAAGGGCAAGGUAGUGGCAUUUGGUUGAUAAACGCCGUGAAUGGUAACCUGCGGGCCUCUGACAGUGGUAACAGGCGAGGUUCUAAUGUGGAACCGACCCGAGGCUGGGCUUUGAGCAGGGUCCUGCUUUUGAAAUGCACAUUAACGAGUUGCUUACAUACAGCCCACCUACAACUCUUUACGAGGUCCCCACACGGACGCGGCUGUUGUGCUUUGGUUGCGUUUCAAUAACUGUAUUACGUGGUAUUGGACGGGCCAUCGCCUCGUGUCCCAUACGUGUGUUUGGUAUGAUCCUCUGUGAAGGUUUUGUUCUGACUAUCCUUAAUCCUGAAUCGAAGCACGAAUGUCGUAGAAGCUCUUAUGAGUGUUUGUCAGUAGUAGCUCUUUGGGCAUUCCGUUGGUCACGGAUAACAGGUGUCUAAAUCCGGAGCCAUUGGUCACGUCUCGAAACACGGGCCAAGGAGCAUAGCAUGUGCGCAAGUCUAAGGGUUUCACAAAACCCGGAGGCGAAGUGAAAGCGAAUGGUGUGUCUGUUAACAGCUCUUGGGCUGUUGGCAGGCGGCUACUACUUGAGUGUAAUUCCUGUGCGGAUGAAUGCAUCAUUGUGCUAAGACCGAGUCGAUCUCUGCGCGUCUGCCUAGAUGGCGUGCGUGGAUGCAAACUCCAGACUCUAUACCAAGGCACUGUUUUGUUAGAGUACUGUGUAGCGUGUAUGCUAUGACCCGAAAGAUAGUGAACUAUGCCUGGCGA